AAAUUGAAGAGUUUGAUCAUGGCUCAGAUUGAACGCUGGCGGCAGGCCUAACACAUGCAAGUCGAGCGGUAGCACAGAGAGCUUGCUCUCGGGUGACGAGCGGCGGACGGGUGAGUAAUGUCUGGGAAACUGCCUGAUGGAGGGGGAUAACUACUGGAAACGGUGGCUAAUACCGCAUAAUGUCGCAAGACCAAAGUGGGGGACCUUCGGGCCUCAUGCCAUCAGAUGUGCCCAGAUGGGAUUAGCUAGUAGGUGGGG
This 258-nucleotide ribosomal RNA is filed under the name Klebsiella pneumoniae. Its description in RNAcentral is "partial 16S ribosomal RNA". It matches the Rfam family "Bacterial small subunit ribosomal RNA", at positions 1 to 257 of the family's 1533-position model. The record is from RNAcentral. Lineage: Bacteria; Pseudomonadati; Pseudomonadota; Gammaproteobacteria; Enterobacterales; Enterobacteriaceae.